UAUUACAAAUGGGAAAUUGAUAAUCAGAUGAUCAAACUGAUUAUCAAUUUCCCAUUUGUAAUA
This 63-nucleotide microRNA precursor is filed under the name Paramuricea clavata. Lineage: Eukaryota; Metazoa; Cnidaria; Anthozoa; Malacalcyonacea; Plexauridae. The record is from RNAcentral.